AAUAGAACGAAGAAAAAAGACAUGUGGUUCAUGUUCACUGAAGACGAACAUAAAGUAGUUGAAGAUCAUGUAACUACAAGGUCCCGACGUCUGCGGAGAAAUCAUAACUGGGUGUAAUGAUUUACUGAUCCCAGUCUCCUGCUCGUUCAACUGGUUGAUGGUGAAUGGACUAGUCGAGACGUGGGAACAUGUGCAAGGUAGAGGCCAUAAGCAGAUGACAGUUUUCCUACAGGAAAGUUAUACAGUUACAGAACAGUCAACAGUUCUUGAAGAUUGAGUCACCACAUUUAAAUUCAA
Long non-coding RNA from Triticum dicoccoides, 297 nucleotides. RefSeq lists it as uncharacterized. NCBI's taxonomy places the organism in Eukaryota, Viridiplantae, Streptophyta, Magnoliopsida, Poales, Poaceae. The record is from RefSeq and is a predicted model, not a curated record. The transcript is spliced from 3 exons.